AGAAGCAGGAGGUUUUCAACCCAGUGACAGUCACAGGGCAGCACCACCCCCUCCUCCUUCUUUCCACACCUGCAAACCCUUUUGCCUGGGCUGCAUAGUUAGUGUUAAUUACAUCGCAGCUUUGAGGGCUCCUGUGGCAAAUACCCGGAUUAAAAGGUAUGGCUUUCAAUAAUUGUCCUGAACUCUGCUACAGGCUAAUAAAGCUUCUGUCAAGUGGAGGGCAGAAGAAAAUAUCUGGUGAGAAAAAGGAACGAGAAGGAAGCUGUGCUAAACUUUUAGUAAUCUUUAGACAACGUUAGAAAUGAAUUGCUUGAAAACAGAAGUUAAGUACUCGGUAAAACAAACAAACAAAAAGGCAAAACUGUUUGAAUGCAUUGGUUUUGUGCUCUUGCUUCUGUUCUUGCAAAUAUGCUUAUUAAAAACUUGUAACCUAACACCAUGACUUGUCUAUAUUGGUAGUUUUGUGUUUGUACUGAUGAAAUGCUUUGCUCUUUAUAAACUGUCAGCAGAAAAGCAUUCGUAACUAGCAUAUUGCUUGUGCCUAAAUUAGGUAUUUAAGGGUUUCUUCUCGUGCUGUGUUCUUGCAUACUUCACAAUCUUUAAAACAUCAGCAAGACAAGUCUCUGGCUGUAGAAAUAUAAUGCCUACUUCUGCAACACCAGAAAUGAAUAGGAAUUAUUACCAGAAAGGUGAAAAGGAACACAGGAAAUAUUUAUGAUGUUAAAGAUCUGAGAUAAUACAGCUGCAGAGCUCUUUGGUUAUAAAUGUUUCUGUCAAUAUUUUCGAUGCAAAUUAACCUUUCUUAUGAGGUGCAUUCACUAUGAGGUGAGGGUGGGGGUUGAUUCUCAUUUUAACUUAAAGCAGAGUAAGCAGAGGACCACUGGUUACGUGUGCCCCAGUGUGUGACUCCAGUGAUCUCUGUGCCUGUGGCUUUUUCUUCCUGCAGCUGCUUAUUUUAGCAGACCUCUCCAAAAGAAACAUAGGUUUUAUUGUAGUUCUUGUUUGUGGACAAAUGUAUUUUUAUUGCUUGUAUUUUAAUUAUUCCUAUUGUUACUGAAGUUUUAAAUUCACCUUAAAAUGAGGGAUUUACAGAUUCACUUCAUACAUACGUGUUAAGUUUUAACUCUGAAACACCUAACAACAGUAUAAGUAUGUUUAUACAAAAGUUAACCUGGAUGAAAUAGCUAAGUAAAUAAAGAAAGAUUGUUUUGGGGCCAGACAGAUUACUUUUGGUGAGACAUUUCGGAACUUAAACAACUCUUUUUAGUGGAAAAAUGGCUUUACAAAUAUUUGAGAGGAACAGUUUCUACAAGAUAUAGUGUUGCUUCAGUCACAACCUGUUCGUUUGUAAAUUGUUUUUUGUUGUUCUAGUUGCCAUUUAUAACAAAAGGAAAAAAAAACAAACAAACAAAAAAACAAAACAAACAAACAAAAAAAAAAACACUGAAGAAAUGUUGAGGACCAGUGACUCUUAAGAUUUCUCUUAAGUUAAUUGCUCUAAACACGCUGGAUCUUUGAGUAGUAUAAAAAAUAUUUUAAAAGAAAUUUCAUGGGAGAACUGGAAGAAAAUUUAUAAGCAUUUUUUUAGGAUAACAGAGUUCAAAAACAUGCAUAUAUGCAUGCACACUUGCACAUAUACACACAUACACACAUGAG
This 1656-nucleotide long non-coding RNA is filed under the name Mus musculus (house mouse). RNAcentral's name for it is "long non-coding RNA chr10:97479633-97481289". Lineage: Eukaryota; Metazoa; Chordata; Mammalia; Rodentia; Muridae. The record is from RNAcentral.